CAUGCAGUAGAACGCAUGAAGAGAGGAGCUUGCUCUUCUUGGAUGAGUUGCGAACGGGUGAGUAACGCGUAGGUAACCUGCCUGGUAGCGGGGGAUAACUAUUGGAAACGAUAGCUAAUACCGCAUAAAAUUGAUUAUCGCAUGAUACUUAAUUGAAAGAUGCAAUUGCAUCACUACCAGAUGGACCUGCGUUGUAUUAGCUAGUUGGUGAGGUAACGGCUCACCAAGGCGACGAUACAUAGCCGACCUGAGAGGGUGAUCGGCCACACUGGGACUGAGACACCGGCCCAGACUCCUACGGGAGGCAGCAGUAGGGAAUCUUCGGCAAUGGGGGGAACCCUGACCGAGCAACGCCGCGUGAGUGAAGAAGGUUUUCGGAUCGUAAAGCUCUGUUGUAAGAGAAGAACGGGUGUGAGAGUGGAAAGUUCACACUGUGACGGUAUCUUACCAGAAAGGGACGGCUAACUACGUGCCAGCAGCCGCGGUAAUACGUAGGUCCCGAGCGUUGUCCGGAUUUAUUGGGCGUAAAGCGAGCGCAGGCGGUUAGAUAAGUCUGAAGUUAAAGGCUGUGGCUUAACCAUAGUAUGCUUUGGAAACUGUUUAACUUGAGUGCAGAAGGGGAGAGUGGAAUUCCAUGUGUAGCGGUGAAAUGCGUAGAUAUAUGGAGGAACACCGGUGGCGAAAGCGGCUCUCUGGUCUGUAACUGACGCUGAGGCUCGAAAGCGUGGGGAGCAAACAGGAUUAGAUACCCUGGUAGUCCACGCCGUAAACGAUGAGUGCUAGGUGUUAGGCCCUUUCCGGGGCUUAGUGCCGCAGCUAACGCAUUAAGCACUCCGCCUGGGGAGUACGACCGCAAGGUUGAAACUCAAAGGAAUUGACGGGGGCCCGCACAAGCGGUGGAGCAUGUGGUUUAAUUCGAAGCAACGCGAAGAACCUUACCAGGUCUUGACAUCCCUCUGACCGCUCUAGAGAUAGAGUUUUCCUUCGGGACAGAGGUGACAGGUGGUGCAUGGUUGUCGUCAGCUCGUGUCGUGAGAUGUUGGGUUAAGUCCCGCAACGAGCGCAACCCCUAUUGUUAGUUGCCAUCAUUGAGUUGGGCACUCUAGCGAGACUGCCGGUAAUAAACCGGAGGAAAGGGUGGGGAAUGACGUCAAAUCAUCAUGCCCCUUAUGACCUGGGCUACACACGUGCUACAAUGGCUGGUACAACGAGUUCGCCAAGCCGGGUGUAACGGGCAAGCUAAUCUCUGAAAGCCAGUCUCAGUUCGGAUUGUAGGCUGCAACUCGCCUACAUGAAGUCGGAAUCGCUAGUAAUCGCGGAUCAGCACGCCGCGGUGAAUACGUUCCCGGGCCUUGUACACACCGCCCGUCACACCACGAGAGUUUGUAACACCCGAAGUCGGUGAGGUAACCGUAAGGAGCCAGCCGCCUAAGGU
Molecule: ribosomal RNA, 1435 nt
Filed under: Streptococcus sp. F8
Lineage: Bacteria; Bacillati; Bacillota; Bacilli; Lactobacillales; Streptococcaceae
Description: bacterial SSU rRNA
Rfam family: Bacterial small subunit ribosomal RNA
Source: RNAcentral